UACUGGUCAAUGGGCGUAAGCCUGAACCAGCCAAGUCGCGUGAGGGAUGAAGGAUCUAUGGUUCGUAAACCUCUUUUAUAAGGGAAUANNAUGCGGGACGUGUCCUGUUUUGUAUGUACCUUAUGAAUAAGGAUCUGCUAACUCCGUGCCAGCAGCCGCGGUAAUACGGAGGAUCCGAGAGUUAUCCGGAUUUAUUGGGUUUAAAGGGUGCGUAGGCGGCCUUUUAAAUCAGCGGUGAAAGUCUGUGGCUCAACCAUAGAAUUGCCGUUGAAACUGGGGGGCUUGAGUAUGUUUGAGGCAGGCGGAAUGCGUGGUGUAACGGUGAAAUGCAUAGAUAUCGCGCAGAACCCCGAUUGCGAAGGCAGCCUGCCAAGCCAUGACUGACGCUGAUGCACGAAAGCGUGGGGAUCG
Molecule: ribosomal RNA, 411 nt
Filed under: uncultured bacterium
Lineage: Bacteria
Description: bacterial SSU rRNA
Rfam family: Bacterial small subunit ribosomal RNA
Source: RNAcentral